This 615-nucleotide ribosomal RNA is filed under the name Triticum aestivum (bread wheat). Its description in RNAcentral is "partial small subunit ribosomal RNA". Lineage: Eukaryota; Viridiplantae; Streptophyta; Magnoliopsida; Poales; Poaceae. The record is from RNAcentral.
AUGUCCCAUUUCAGUUGCGAUACCAGACGUGAUCACGGCUGCGUCUGUUUAUUCAUGUACGCACAGAGAGGAGAGCCCUUACUUCCCGUAGAAGAGGCCGACGUGCGAGAUGGUGGCAGCGAUGGUGGCGAAGCUGAGCCCGUAAGCGAGAGCAAAGAAGGUACUGAUGUUGACCCUGCCGAGCUCAUUGUAAGCGUCAUAGUCGAGCUCGAACUGCUUGUUCACAAUGGCGUCGAUGUCGUAGUCCGUCCCGUUGGACAUGAAGAGCUGCGUGGAGAAGAGGGGGAACGUCUUGGCGUGGUACAGGUUGGUGCCCCAGUACGCCGUGGGCACCAGCACCCAGACGAAGAAGACGUAGCCGACGAAGAUGUUGGCGAUGGCGAAGAAGGGCGUGAUGAGCGGGCUGCCGAGGUAGGAGGCGACGGUCUCCCAGUCGAGGGUGAAGGCUCCGAGGCCCAGGCCUUUGAGGCCGGAGCCGAGCUGCUGCGCGGUCACCGACUUGGGGAACGCCCAGCACACCCAUGCGAUGGACGUCAGGCUCUGGAAGAUGAAGCCUGGCAGGGCGUAAUACGAGAAGCUGCAGAUGAGCACCACCAGGAAGAACUUGAAGCGUGA